AAGUUUUUCCAUUCUUUUUUUCCACUGUGGUACAUGAUUGAGUGUAAGCUGUUGCACAAGAAGAUGAGAUUAAAUGCUUGAAAGUGUUUUUACCAUCUUGUCUUUAUAGGCUCUUUUUGCAGAUUUAAUUGCUCUAUGAAGAUCAUAUCAGGGCAUUCUUUAUACCUUAGUGUCAUCUGAAUUGUAGGCUGAAGUACAAUCUUUGAGUUUGGCCCUAACAUCAGAAGGCUUGACAUAUUGCACUUAUAAAGAUGAUGAACAUAUGAAGUGUUGCUACAUGAAAACACCAGCUCUGGUUUUAAUAUCAUCAUACUCAGCAAGAUGUUUGACCUAGGUCUCCAGCACAAGCUGUCCCUGUGCAUACAACAUUUAUAAACAACAAAACCAUAAUCAUUCACGAUGGUCUCUCAUUGGUUUUUCGCUUAUGUCAGUCAGCACAGGAGUUCUAGAAGACUGUGAUGAGGACUUUCAUGCAAAUGAUUGCAUACCUGUCAACAAUAGCAAUCAGAGAUGAGAACUCAGGAACAUAAAUCUGUCACAGCAAUUUCUGGAAUCUUUCUAUCAUCGCUCCAUUGACAGUGUUCUGACAUACAAGAUACUACUAUUAUACAAUAACAGCUCAGAACUUUAUAAAAAAAAAAAAAAAAGCUGUAUUUUUUGCAAUUUUUUUAAUACAUCUGUCUUUAAAAAUACUCAUUUAUAUAUGUUAGAAGUUGUAUGAGCUGUGUGUGAGGAUCUUAGAUAUGUUGUUUGUUUCAAAAAGAUAUUUUCAGUACCAUAUCAGUCAAUGCAGUUUAAUUUUAUUAAAGAAAGUGUUUAUGGUUAAUUCUUAGACAUUUUUAAUGCUUCUGAUAUGUUGAUAUUUCUUGUUUCUUUAAUGUAUUACUUCAUAUAUAUCGGUUUUGUUAACAAAUGUGUCAUUUUUAAUUUCAAAAUGCAUUCUGCAUUGUAAUGAAUGAAUGAAUUAAUGAUUUUUUUUGUUCUUUAUACUUUGUAACACAAAUUUUGUUUAUUUUGUAUCUUAAAAUAUUAUUAUACCU
Long non-coding RNA from Cyprinus carpio (common carp), 1040 nucleotides. The record is from Ensembl. Lineage: Eukaryota; Metazoa; Chordata; Actinopteri; Cypriniformes; Cyprinidae.